This 483-nucleotide unclassified non-coding RNA is filed under the name Hevea brasiliensis (rubber tree). Lineage: Eukaryota; Viridiplantae; Streptophyta; Magnoliopsida; Malpighiales; Euphorbiaceae. The record is from RNAcentral.
UUUUUAUCCAAUAACAAAUAUCAUUACAACAAUAAAGAAAUUGGUAUUUCCGGGUUUUAAUCCAUUCCAAAUAAUUGUAUGGAUUCACAUCUGAAUGCAGCAAUCAAGGUUUGAUGUGCAUAGGGGACAUCAUAUGCCUAUAAUCAAAAACUUAGAUGCAACACCUCAACUCCUCCAAACCAGCGCUUUUUACAGAGAUUUAAAAAAGGUCUCUAGUUUAUAGCUUCUAAAACUCUUAUUUAUGAACUAAAAGUUGUAUGCUGUCAUUUUUCACCAUUCAUUUCACAAAGUUGCAUCAAAUUCCUAAUGACUCUCACCAUCACUUGAUCCAAGUCGAGCAUCCAAAUUGAAUUCCUCAGUCACCUCCCCAGCUAUCCUCCAUCUUUCAAGAACAAACUUUCCUUCCUUGUACUUUUGGCCUUUGUCAUGCGCUGCCACAUAUUUCCACCCAAGCAGUUGUCCACAGCAACAACAGAAUAUAUC